Molecule: ribosomal RNA, 677 nt
Filed under: Ctenophora environmental sample
Lineage: Eukaryota; Metazoa; Ctenophora
Description: partial Bacterial large subunit ribosomal RNA
Rfam family: Bacterial large subunit ribosomal RNA
Source: RNAcentral
GUGAAAAGUACCCGGAAUAAGGGAGUGAAAUAGAUCCUGAAACCGUUUGCUUACAAGCGGUCGGAGCAUCUUUAAGAUGUGACGGCGUGCCUUUUGCAUAAUGAUCCUACGAGUUACUCGUCACUGGCAAGGUUAAGGACUUCAGGUCCGCAGCCGAAGCGAAAGCAAGUCUGAAUAGGGCGUAUAGUCAGUGGCGGUAGACGCGAAACCGAGUGAUCUACCCAUGGGCAGGUUGAAGCUCUGGUAACACAGAGUGGAGGACCGAACCGGUUGAUGUUGAAAAAUCUUCGGAUGACCUGUGGGUAGGGGUGAAAGGCCAAUCAAACUCGGAAAUAGCUCGUUCUCCCCGAAAUGCUUUUAGGAGCAGCGUUAUGUUAUAGAGUAGUAGAGGUAGAGCUACUGGUUGGAUGCGGGGGCUUCAUCGCCUACCAAAUCCUGUCAAACUCCGAAUGCUACUACUUGUUUCAUAGCAGUGAGGGCAUGGGUGCUAAGGUCCAUGUCCGAGAGGGAAAGAACCCAGACCAUCAGCUAAGGUCCCUAAAUAUAUGUUAAGUUGAAUAAACGAGGUGAAACUGCUUAGACAGCUAGGAUGUUGGCUUGGAAGCAGCCAUUCAUUUAAAGAGUGCGUAACAGCUCACUAGUCGAGCGGUUUUGCAUGGAUAAUAAUCGGGCAUAAA